This 603-nucleotide ribosomal RNA is filed under the name Salmonella enterica subsp. enterica serovar Enteritidis. Its description in RNAcentral is "partial 23S ribosomal RNA". It matches the Rfam family "Bacterial large subunit ribosomal RNA", at positions 668 to 1269 of the family's 2925-position model. Lineage: Bacteria; Pseudomonadati; Pseudomonadota; Gammaproteobacteria; Enterobacterales; Enterobacteriaceae. The record is from RNAcentral.
GAGGGAAACCGAGUCUUAAUUGGGCGUUAAGUUGCAGGGUAUAGACCCGAAACCCGGUGAUCUAGCCAUGGGCAGGUUGAAGGUUGGGUAACACUAACUGGAGGACCGAACCGACUAAUGUUGAAAAAUUAGCGGAUGACCUGUGGCUGGGGGUGAAAGGCCAAUCAAACCGGGAGAUAGCUGGUUCUCCCCGAAAGCUAUUUAGGUAGCGCCUCGUGAAUUCAUCUCCGGGGGUAGAGCACUGUUUCGGCUAGGGGGCCAUCCCGGCUUACCAACCCGAUGCAAACUGCGAAUACCGGAGAAUGUUAUCACGGGAGACACACGGCGGGUGCUAACGUCCGUCGUGAAGAGGGAAACAACCCAGACCGCCAGCUAAGGUCCCAAAGUCAUGGUUAAGUGGGAAACGAUGUGGGAAGGCCCAGACAGCCAGGAUGUUGGCUUAGAAGCAGCCAUCAUUUAAAGAAAGCGUAAUAGCUCACUGGUCGAGUCGGCCUGCGCGGAAGAUGUAACGGGGCUAAACCAUGCACCGAAGCUGCGGCAGCGACACUGUGUGUUGUUGGGUAGGGGAGCGUUCUGUAAGCCUGUGAAGGUGUGUCGUGAGGC